RNAcentral lists this ribosomal RNA (1257 nucleotides) under Serendipita sp. MAFF 305833. Its description in RNAcentral is "eukaryotic LSU rRNA". The stretch from base 584 to 1257 matches the Rfam family "Eukaryotic large subunit ribosomal RNA", at positions 1 to 656 of the family's 3401-position model. Lineage: Eukaryota; Fungi; Basidiomycota; Agaricomycetes; Sebacinales; Serendipitaceae. The record is from RNAcentral.
AGAGGAAGUAAAAGUCGUAACAAGGUUUCCGUAGGUGAACCUGCGGAAGGAUCAUUAACGAAUCGUAAGCCGGUCGACCGUGCUGGCGGCAACGCACGUGCACGUCGAUCGCAAACCAAUCCACACACCUGUGAACGUAUGGCCUCUCGGGUCCUUUYGGACUCGGGGCAAAACCCAUUUUUACUCUGAUCGUAAAGGAAUGUCUUUGCCUAAAGCGCAAAAGCAAACAACUUUCAACAACGGAUCUCUUGGCUCUCGCAUCGAUGAAGAACGCAGCGAAAUGCGAUAAGUAAUGUGAAUUGCAGAAUUCAGUGAAUCAUCGAAUCUUUGAACGCACCUUGCACCCUUUGGUAUUCCGAAGGGUACGCCCGUUUGAGUGUCAUUGUAAUCUCACCCCCGGAAUCUUUUCUGGGGAGUGGACUUGGACGUUGCMGUGUCACGGCUCGUCUGGAAUGUCUCAGUGCUACCCCGCCCGUCGGCGUAUACAGUGUGAUAAGUAUCUUCACUGGUCAGCUUCCUCGGAGGCGCGCUCUCGGACGGAUCGGUGUGCUGCCAACCGUCUUCGGACAAUACUCUGACGAUUUGACCUCAAAUCGGGUGGGACUACCCGCUGAACUUAAGCAUAUCAAUAAGCGGAGGAAAAGAAACUAACAAGGAUUCCCCUAGUAACGGCGAGUGAAGAGGGAAAAGCUCAAAUUUUGAAUCUGGUGUCUUUGGCGCCCGAGUUGUAAUCUAGAGAAGUGUUUUCCGCACCGGACCGUGCACAAGUUCCCUGGAACGGGGCGUCAUAGAGGGUGAGAAUCCCGUAUAUGGCACGGACUACCGGCGCUCUGCGAUACACUCUCAACGAGUCGAGUUGUUUGGGAAUGCAGCUCAAAAUGGGUGGUAAAUUCCAUCUAAAGCUAAAUAUUGGCGAGAGACCGAUAGCGAACAAGUACCGUGAGGGAAAGAUGAAAAGCACUUUGGAAAGAGAGUGAAACAGUACGUGAAAUUGUUGAAAGGGAAGCGUUUGAAGUCAGUCGCGUCUGGCGGGAUUCAGCCUGGCUUCUGCCUGGUGUACUUCCCGUCCGACGGGUCAGCAUCGGUUUCGACCGAGAGAAAAAGGCUUGGGGAAUGUGGCCGUCCUCGGGCGGUGUUAUAGCCCCUUGUCGUAUGUCUCGGUUGGGACCGAGGACCGCAGCGCGCCUUACGGCCGGGGAUCGCUCCCUCGGUACGCGCUUAGGAUGCUGGCAUAAUGGCUUUAAGCGACCCGUCUUG